AACUUUGCCCAGUGGCCGUAUUGUAGCCAAUGAGGUUUACCUGAGGUGCGAUUAUUGCUAAUUGAAAACUUUUUCCAAAACCCUGCCAUGAGGACUUGCCAUAUAGUCGGCAUUGGCAAUUUAUGACAGUCUCUAAGGAGA
This is a small nuclear RNA of Rattus norvegicus (Norway rat), 141 nucleotides long. Ensembl annotates it as U4 spliceosomal RNA. NCBI's taxonomy places the organism in Eukaryota, Metazoa, Chordata, Mammalia, Rodentia, Muridae. The record is from Ensembl.